Molecule: ribosomal RNA, 301 nt
Filed under: uncultured bacterium
Lineage: Bacteria
Description: partial 16S ribosomal RNA
Rfam family: Bacterial small subunit ribosomal RNA
Source: RNAcentral
CAGCAGCCAUGGUAAUACGUAGGUGGCAAGCGUUGUCCGGAAUUAUUGGGCGUAAAGGGCUCGCAGGCGGUUUCUUAAGUCUGAUGUGAAAGCCCCCGGCUCAACCGGGGAGGGUCAUUGGAAACUGGGAAACUUGAGUGCAGAAGAGGAGAGUGGAAUUCCACGUGUAGCGGUGAAAUGCGUAGAGAUGUGGAGGAACACCAGUGGCGAAGGCGACUCUCUGGUCUGUAACUGACGCUGAGGAGCGAAAGCGUGGGGAGCGAACAGGAUUAGAUACCCCUGUAGUCCCUGUCUCUUAUAC